AUUGAACGCUGGCGGCAGGCCUAACACAUGCAAGUCGAGCGGAUGAAGGGAGCUUGCUCCUGGAUUCAGCGGCGGACGGGUGAGUAAUGCCUAGGAAUCUGCCUGGUAGUGGGGGCUAACGUCCGUAAACGGGCGCUAAUACCGCAUACGUCCUGAGGGAGAAAGUGGGGGAUCUUCGGACCUCACGCUAUCAGAUGAGCCUAGGUCGGAUUAGCUAGUUGGUGGGGUAAAGGCCUACCAAGGCGACGAUCCGUAACUGGUCUGAGAGGAUGAUCAGUCACACUGGAACUGAGACACGGUCCAGACUCCUAAGGGAGGCAGCAGUGGGGAAUAUUGGACAAUGGGCGAAAGCCUGAUCCAGCCAUGCCGCGUGUGUGAAGAAGGUCUUCGGAUUGUAAAGCACUGUAAGUUGGGAGGAAGGGCAGUAAGUUAAUACCUUGCUGUUUUGACGUUACCAACAGAAUAAGCACCGGCUAACUUCGUG
RNAcentral lists this ribosomal RNA (484 nucleotides) under uncultured bacterium. RNAcentral's name for it is "partial 16S ribosomal RNA". It matches the Rfam family "Bacterial small subunit ribosomal RNA", at positions 30 to 507 of the family's 1533-position model. The record is from RNAcentral.